CCCGCUGAACUUAAGCAUAUCAAUAAGCGGAGGAAAAGAAACUAACAAGGAUUCCCCUAGUAACGGCGAGUGAAGCGGGAUGAGCUCAAGCUUAAAAUCUCCGUGCAAGUUUUGCGCGGCGAAUUGUAGUCUAUAGAGGCGUGGUCAGCGUGGGCACUUGGGGCAAGUUCCUUGGAAGAGGACAGCAUGGAGGGUGAUACUCCCGUUCAUCCCUGAGUUGCUCAUGCGUACGACCCGUUUUCUUUGAGUCGCGUUGUUUGGGAAUGCAGCGCAAAGUAGGUGGUAAAUUCCAUCUAAAGCUAAAUAUUGGUGCGAGACCGAUAGCGAACAAGUACCGUGAGGGAAAGAUGAAAAGAACUUUGAAAAGAGAGUUAAAGAGUACCUGAAACUGCUGAAAGGGAACCGAAUCGUUUCCAGUGUCUAUAAUCCGUGGCAUAUUUCAUUGGCGAGUGUGUGCGUGCGUGUGCUGUGGCAGUGGCUUUUUUGGCUGCGCUCGGUGUGUGUGCUGUGUGUGCUUGCUGGUGCCCUGUGCUGCGGUGGGACGUCAAGGUCAGUUCGUAUGCUGCGGGAAAUGGCUGCCGAGGAGGUAGGGCUUACGCUUGCGUUUGUCUGUUAUAUCUUGGUGGACGAGUCGUCGCGGUUGGGACUGAGGUGCCUACAACGUGCUUUUGAGUGGGUUUGUGUCUCCGUGUGCGCCGUGUGCGGAUAGCUUGCUAUGCGUGUGUGGUUGUGUGUGGAUUGAUGCGGGCUUUAACUUGUUGCCGUUCGGGACGUUGACGAAAUGGAGCGAUCCGACCCGUCUUGAAACACGGACCAAGGAGUCUAACAUGUGUGCAAGUGUUAGGGUGUGGAAACCCCAGCGCGAAAUGAAAGUGAAGGGCAGCGCAAGUUGUCUGAGGUAGGAAACGUUGUGGGCUUCGGUCUGCGGCGUGGCACUAUCGACCGAUCAUGAACCUUCGUGGUGAAAGAUUUGAGUUUGAGCACAUAUGUUGGUACCCGAAAGAUGGUGAACUAUGCCUGAGUAGGGUGAAGCCAGGGGAAACUCUGGUGGAAGCUCGUAGCGAUUCUGACGUGCAAAUCGAUCGUCAAACUUGGGUAUAGGGGCGAAAGACUAAUCGAACCAUCUAGUAGCUGGUUCCCUCCGAAAUUUCCCUCAGGAUAGCAGCAACUUAUUUACGAUAGUUUUAUGAGGUAAAGCGAAUGAUUAGAGGAUUCGGGGAAGAAACUUCCUCGACCUAUUCUCAAACUUUAAAUCUGUAAGACCUGCAGGUUUCUUAAUUGAACUUGUGGAUGUGAAUAUCAAGUUGCUAGUGGGCCAUACGGGGUAAGCUCGUCUGGCG
This 1340-nucleotide ribosomal RNA is filed under the name Phytophthora katsurae. RNAcentral describes it as "eukaryotic LSU rRNA". It matches the Rfam family "Eukaryotic large subunit ribosomal RNA", at positions 24 to 1155 of the family's 3401-position model. Lineage: Eukaryota; Oomycota; Peronosporomycetes; Peronosporales; Peronosporaceae. The record is from RNAcentral.